GCCAGGUGUAGUGGCUCAUACCUGUAAUUCCAGCAACUAAGGAGGCUAAGGCAGGAUGAUAGCAAGUUUGAGGCUAGCCUCAGCAACUUAGCAAGACCUGUGUUUA
This 106-nucleotide small RNA is filed under the name Marmota monax (woodchuck). Lineage: Eukaryota; Metazoa; Chordata; Mammalia; Rodentia; Sciuridae. The record is from RNAcentral.